AAGGGUAUAGCUCAGUGGUACAGCACAUACUUAGCAUGCUCAAGGUCCUGGGUUCAAUCCCCAGUACCUCCA
RNAcentral lists this transfer RNA (72 nucleotides) under Camelus bactrianus (Bactrian camel). It matches the Rfam family "tRNA". From Rfam's summary of the family: Transfer RNA (tRNA) molecules are approximately 80 nucleotides in length. RNAcentral also lists the same sequence under 1 other name. The record is from Rfam by way of RNAcentral. Lineage: Eukaryota; Metazoa; Chordata; Mammalia; Artiodactyla; Camelidae.